RNAcentral lists this long non-coding RNA (1378 nucleotides) under Linum usitatissimum (flax). RNAcentral describes it as "long non-coding RNA (LUSI_LNC004293)". The record is from RNAcentral. Lineage: Eukaryota; Viridiplantae; Streptophyta; Magnoliopsida; Malpighiales; Linaceae.
GCGAGGCGUCUCCUUGGUCGUUACCCGUAGUUACCAACUGAGGCAAGUGGAUUUACUUACCAUCACGUGAAUGCCCGCUGCUUGUUAGGUAUGCAUCUAAUAGCUUGUGGAUUAACGUUGCUCCACGAAUGAAUGAUAAAUGGUGCUGCCCAAGCCACGGUGUGGUAAACAUUGAUGGUUUGGAUGGAUGGUUAGGAUGCACAUUUUUUUCACUUUCUAACUCUCUCGAAACUAUUUAUGACAAAUAAUAAUCCAUAUCUAAUUCCGAACUAAAUAAGCACAUCGUCGAUAAUCUCACCAUUAAUUCACCCCUCUUCCGAAAAAAUCAGAUGAUUGAGAAGAUGGGGAUUGUAUCGUAGUUCACGAGAAUUAAUUAGGGGAAAAGAAAUGAAAAAAAAAACCCUAUAAAGAAAGAAAGAAAGAAAGUAACCAGAUAGACCGUACAACAUACAGAAGAGAUAAGGGCGAAAUGGAGGGAGGAAGGGAUCAGAUUCACUUUCAGUGUCUGAUCAACAGAGAAAGAAGCUGAUUCACAGCCAUUCAUUGAUUCUUCUUCAGUGGGAUGAACACUAUGUCCGAACACCUUUCAAAACCAUAUAAACUCUAGAACUGGACGGCGGCUUUGAAAGCUUACAGAUAGAUGGAGCGAAUCUGGAGGAAAGAAAAUGUUAGGGACCAGUACCGUCAUUUCCUUCUUCAAAAAUUAAAUUUAUUUACUCACCAGGGCAGUCACCACACAAUAAACCCUAGAUCAGAAGCAAGCGAGGGUACAGUAAGAGUCAGAAUAUAAGAAAUUAGGUCUUUGAAUUUGGGGAAGGGGCAGAUUCAUUGCGUGGGUAACCCUAGGAGAGAGAUAAAGAAGAUAAGAGAUGCGUACGUACAAUGAUUUAUUAUUAUUGGUGGAAUGGUGGGUGGUGAUUAAUCAAUCCCCAGUGAGCCACUAACUAUGCAGCAGCAGCAGCAGCAGCAGAAGAAGAAGAAGAAGAAGAAGAAGAAGAAGAAUAAGGGGUAGAAGCAUAAAACCAAACCCUACAAACCAAAGGAAAAGACAGCAUAAGACUGAGAUCGAAGAGAUAAUGCUUUGGAUUCAUAUGAGAAGCCAUUUUUCAUAUGAGAAAUUAUAACAACAACCAGGCAGCAGCACCACAUACCCACAUUAAUUGCCUAUCGCUUUCCUCCCUCUUUCCUUCCCCUCGUCUUCUUCCUUUUUCUCUCCUAGAAAAAAGCUAUGGAAAGUGACCCCUUUCUUUCCUUCCACCUUUAUUCCAAAACCCUAUUUCUUGUUUUCUUUUUCUUCUUCUCCUCCUUGGUUGCUUUGUUAUUAUGAAAGUCUCAUAUACUACAAUAAUAAUGCUGUCCAUUUGAUUUGGAUUCUUUC